ACUAAUCUCGUUGGUUGAGGCAAUAUUGGUCAAAUUAACUGUGACAUUGGUAACUAUUAAACAAACAAAUUGGUUAUCUAACAACUAAUAUCAUUGGUUAAGAACAAAUUGGUUGAUUUAACAAAGAUAUUGGUUAACUUUAAUAACACAUUGGUUGAAAAAUGACUAAUAUCAUUGGUUAAGCAAAUGUUUACUAAGAGAUUGGUAACUGACGCAGGUCUGACGCUCAACGUCAAGUACGUAACUCUGCUUCUCAAUUUUCUGACAAAGCCGCCAUCUUGGUGCUGCAGGAAAGCCGUUUGAGAUAUUGGUGAAAUUCAAACACUUUGUGAGAUGACAGAAUAUUGCUGAAGGAUCCUACAUGGAAGCUGGCUGAUUACACAGAGUGAUUCCUCUGGUGUGGUGUACCUCAGAGAAAUAAACACUGUUGCAAGAGCUGAGAAGAUGGCCAAGAUAUCCUUAUUGCUGGAUGGUAGCUCUCUGGUCGUAGUGGACCAUGUCUGCAAAUGCUUCUGAACAUUGAC
Molecule: long non-coding RNA, 524 nt
Organism: Engraulis encrasicolus (European anchovy)
Lineage: Eukaryota; Metazoa; Chordata; Actinopteri; Clupeiformes; Engraulidae
Exons: 3
Source: RefSeq, a predicted model, not a curated record